Long non-coding RNA from Oncorhynchus tshawytscha (Chinook salmon), 2402 nucleotides. RefSeq lists it as uncharacterized. The transcript has 3 exons. The record is from RefSeq and is a predicted model, not a curated record. NCBI's taxonomy places the organism in Eukaryota, Metazoa, Chordata, Actinopteri, Salmoniformes, Salmonidae.
UGUAGACCUUAUUCUGAAAUGCUUACUUACAAGCCCUUAACCUCUUAAAUGUAAACUCCCCAUAUUUGGGGAUCCUAUUAGAUAUUUUUUAAAUUCAAUUUAGUAUGGUAUGAGAAUGGUAUUCCCUUUCUGCAAAAGCAGGGUGUCUCUGGAAAGCUGAGUAUCUUGGCUAUUGAUCUGUGCCUUAUACAUUUGUAUGCCUAUAUAUAGUAUUAAGGGCUGGCUGAGCAAAUUACCUAAUAUCAAGGUGGCUGCUACCUACAUUACUGUUAGCAUUGUGAAGCAUAAACUAAAUAAACACAGCAUACGUUGAUUUGCACCGAAAGCUAGGACUCCACAGAUCAUGAGGAUGUCUUAUUUGUCUGCCUGUGACCUACUGUUAUUGAUCACAAUCCCCGAGAUUCAAAAUGUUUAUUUUACCCAACGUUUUCACCAAACAUCUUACAAGGUAAGCUUCGAUUUGGUCUGUGUUCGAGCUAUAGCUACAUGGGGUGGUAUCAAAUGAAUCCUUAGGUUGGUAGGAACAAAUCUAGCCUAUUGCCAAUGUUAUCUGAUGUAUGACUUAAUGUCAACAUUGAAUGUCCACGGAGUGACACUACCUUUGUGCAUUAAAAUAUGUUGCCUGCUUAGGCAUCCAUUACACAGGGGAUUGGCUACUAUGGCACCUUGACAGUCUUGUAGCCAAUGAGAUAAGCUUUCCAGGGAUAUGCGGUUAACCUGGGUGGGACAAAGCAAGGACUUUAAUCUUUUAUGCGUAAUGCAUUCUAUUGCUACCUGGCUCAGAGAUGAAACGCACAGAACACGCUGCAUUACAUUGUAAACAGAUUUCAUCGCUUUAAUAUCAUCGCUUAAGCAUAAAAGAUGGCUUCUCAAAUGGGGGAUAAACAAGAUGAAAACGAAGAAUAGUGAAUAGGAAGCUAAAAUCAUGAAGGAAAAAAAACAACUGUGCAAUGAGUUGGGAGGGGGCACAUUCAGAGUGUGGGGUUGCAGGACAAGCGGUCUUUUGUUAGAUAACAGGAGCCAGGUGCGAGAUAACGGUAUGGUGCAUGAGCGCAUGGAUGUUCUUCACAGCAACAGUUACAUCUAUCAACAGAAGCGCCAAGAGGUGGGGACCCGCCUGAGCGCCUGCAAUAGGCUGAGCAAGUUUAAACCACGCCCAGUCUCUACUGUGAUAGGCCAACAGACGGGUUGGAACUGUCUAUCACAGUAUAAAGAAUACUUUUUACAUACAUCUUGUCAUUUCCUUGUUCUGCCCUGCGUGGUAUUACAGUGAGCCCGUAUAUACGAAAGUUGCAUUUGCCAUUUAUUACUUAGCUAAUAAAAAAUACAUAGUAUACAAUCGGUGACUCAUUGUUAUAUUUAUCCUGAUACCAGAUUCGAAUUUACUCUAACAAGAGUAGGACUCGGGUUCAGGAGAGUAGGACUCGGGUUCAGGAAGGCAGGACUCGGGUUCAGGAGAGCAGGACUCUUGAUCAGGAGAGCAGGACUCUUGAUCAGGAGAGCAGGAUUCGGGUUCAGGAGAGCAGGACUCGGGUUCAGGAGAGCAGGACUCUUGAUCAGGAGAGCAGGACUCGGGUUCAGGAGAGUAGGACUCUGGUUCAGGAGAGCAGGACUCGGGUUCAGGAGAGCAGGACUCGGGUUCAGGAGAGCGAUUUGAACUAUGAGGAUUUCGACUCAGCCGACAAAGAUUGCUUUCAAGAAGGAUUGGGUCCACUUUUAGAUCUAGUGGAGGAUGCAGAGGAUUUGGAUGAUGACGUUUGGGAGCCACCCCACUCCAGUAAGCGCCCCCGAUGGUUAAGGUCUUCAUCCUCCACUGCUAUGUCAAUCACCCUGUCUGAUGGUUCUACAUCCACUUUUCAUAGACCUCUUGAAAAAUAAAAUAGGGGCUUGUGGCACCAUUCGUCCUAACAGAAUCAGAUUCCCCAAGACCCAGGUAAACAACAUGACAAAAACAGAGGAGAGGGGGACCUUAAGUUGGAUCAGGACUAACAAGCUGCUUUUUGUGAAAUGGAACGACACCAGGGAAGUAACCAUGCUCAUCACACAGUAUAAUCAUUCAAUAAUGAAAUGCCAGUUUGCUUUUUGUUUCCUGGCAGAGGGACUGCUUCAAAGACUAUCAAGACAUGCACAAGCUACGGUGAAAGGGAAAUCUAAUCAGCUACACCUGGGACGUAAAACGAACAGGAAUGCCAUUUGAAAGGCCCAUCAAGACCCAGAGUUUCUUUUUCCAAGGAGACCUGGCCAAGAAGGAAGCAACAAUCAAUACAUGGCAUAAUUCUAAAAAUACAACAAAGCUCUGGCGAAGGCCGUGUGGCCGAUAUGUAAGCUUAUUAAAUAUAGGUGAUCCUAUCAAGAGCGGUGUGCGGUUUCCUUUCUCCUUAAAAUACAACAAUACAAUACAA